RNAcentral lists this ribosomal RNA (449 nucleotides) under uncultured bacterium. RNAcentral's name for it is "partial 16S ribosomal RNA". It matches the Rfam family "Bacterial small subunit ribosomal RNA", at positions 29 to 523 of the family's 1533-position model. The record is from RNAcentral.
AACGAACGCUGGCGGCAGGCUUAACACAUGCAAGUCGAACGCAUCCUUCGGGGUGAGUGGCAGACGGGUGAGUAACGCGUGGGAACGUGCCCUUCAGUUCGGGAUAACCCAGGGAAACUUGGGCUAAUACCGGAUACGUGCGAGAGCAGAAAGAUUUAUCGCUGAAGGAUCGGCCCGCGUCGGAUGAGCCAGUUGGUGGGGUAAUGGCCCACCAAGGCGACGAUAAGUAGCUGGGCUGAGAGGAUGAUCAGCCACAUUGGGACUGAGACACGGCCCAAACUCCUACGGGAGGCAGCAGUGGGGAAUAUUGGACAAUGGGCGCAAGCCUGAUCCAGCCAUGCCGCGUGAGUGAUGAAGGCCUUAGGGUUGUAAAGCUCUUUCAUCCGGGACGAUAAUGACGGUACCGGAAGAAGAAGCCCCGGCUAACUUCGUGCCAGCCGCCGCCGUAA